RNAcentral lists this ribosomal RNA (216 nucleotides) under Glomeromycotina sp. RNAcentral describes it as "partial small subunit ribosomal RNA". The stretch from base 54 to 216 matches the Rfam family "Eukaryotic small subunit ribosomal RNA", at positions 700 to 864 of the family's 1831-position model. Lineage: Eukaryota; Fungi; Glomeromycota. The record is from RNAcentral.
GGGUCAGGAGGUUGGUCGUGCCACCGGUACGUACUGGUCUCACUGAUCCCUCCUUCCUGAAGAACCGUAAUGCCAUUAAUUUGGUGUUGCGGGGAAACAGGACUGUUACUUUGAAAAAAUUAGAGUGUUUAAAGCAAGCUAACGCUUGAAUACAUUAGCAUGGAAUAAUGAAAUAGGACGAUCGAUCCUAUUUUGAUGGUUUCUAGGAUUGACGUA